CAUAUGGUCGACCUGCAGGCGGCCGCGAAUUCACUAGUGAUUAGAGUUUGAUCAUGGCUCAGAACGAACGCUGGCGGCAUGCCUAAUACAUGCAAGUCGAACGAGACCUUCGGGUCUAGUGGCGCACGGGUGCGUAACGCGUGGGAAUCUGCCCUUGGGUUCGGAAUAACUUCGGGAAACUGAAGCUAAUACCGGAUAAUGACGAAAGUCCAAAGAUUUAUCGCCCAGGGAUGAGCCCGCGUAGGAUUAGCUAGUUGGUGGGGUAAAGGCUCACCAAGGCAACGAUCCUUAGCUGGUCUGAGAGGAUGAUCAGCCACACUGGGACUGAGACACGGCCCAGACUCCUACGGGAGGCAGCAGUAGGGAAUAUUGGACAAUGGGCGAAAGCCUGAUCCAGCAAUGCCGCGUGAGUGAUGAAGGCCUUAGGGUUGUAAAGCUCUUUUACCCGAGAUGAUAAUGACAGUAUCGGGAGAAUAAGCUCCGGCUAACUCCGUGCCAGCAGCCGCGGUAAUACGAAUCGAAUUCCCGCGGCCGCCAUGGCGGCCGGGAGCAUGCGACGUCGGGCCCAA
Molecule: ribosomal RNA, 569 nt
Filed under: uncultured Alphaproteobacteria bacterium
Lineage: Bacteria; Pseudomonadati; Pseudomonadota; Alphaproteobacteria
Description: bacterial SSU rRNA
Rfam family: Bacterial small subunit ribosomal RNA
Source: RNAcentral